RNAcentral lists this long non-coding RNA (1077 nucleotides) under Mus pahari (shrew mouse). RNAcentral describes it as "lncRNA (MGP_PahariEiJ_G0004633.1)". Lineage: Eukaryota; Metazoa; Chordata; Mammalia; Rodentia; Muridae. The record is from RNAcentral.
GACGCCUCUCGCCGGAGGGAGCAGGGACCCGCAGCUGGAGCGGGGGCGCACGGGGCGCCGGCCCCGGGGUCGCCGCCGUCGCCGCAGGGACGCGCGCCCGCACCCUCCGGCUCCCCUAAGCCGCAUAGCCCGGCCCUCAGCCUGAGCGGACGAAAAUUAAACCCCAACUUCCACACAUCACAUUGGAAAAGAGGUUGUCUUAUGAGGCGAAGAAGACAGUCUUUCCCCUUCAUUGCUCAGCAAGAACCAGGAUGAGGUUGAGCAAAGACAGCAGCAGCAGGUGGCACUUCCCCACCUCCAUCCCAUGUGGGUCCCUGCCUAAAAGAAAUGACUGAGUCCAGAUUGCCUCCUUCCUGAAUGAGCAGAGAGACAAGCGCUUCCACAAGAAGCCCUUGCAGAGAGUGUGGUCAAAGUCAAAUUGGCCUCUGUGUCGGCCACCUGCAAAUGGUAAAAGGACCAAGAUGCCUUGGGAGAGAAAAUGUCAAGAGAGUUGUAUGUAAAUACCAUAACAAUUGCUUGAUCUUAAACAAAUUGCUCGUCCUUCUGAGUUUCUGGGCCCACUCACCUCUAAACUGGGAUCAGAUAACUACCUCAUGGGAUAAGCUAAGGGUACGAACUGCCUGAAAACGGCCCCUCUCUCCUUCAACCAGGCUGAGGCAGGUGGUAGGAACGAAUAUGUUGCCUUCCUCGAGCCCACCUCAAGGCAGAAAUAAGGAAUUCCUGGACAACCCGACUUAGAACAACAAACUAGAGAGUGUUUGUGUGGGAGGUGACAGCAAAAGCUUGCAAACUCCUUGCGCCCUUCUUGGGUUUCUUUGUGUGUUGUUCUCCCCUGCUUCCUGCUCACCCAGCGGUGCCAGGCCCGGGAGGACUGAGGGAGGAGUAGACGGCCUCGCCCCUUUCUGCAGCCUGGGAGGAGCCGGCAGGCGGCUCUGCAGCCCAGGGCCGCAGCCCACCUCCACCGCCAGGGGUCAGCAGAGUGUCGUGAUUGCAGCCCGAGUUGAGGAGGGGGCCAGAGAAAGGAGGGGGCAACCAGGAGAGGUCGCGGGAAUGCAUCAUUAAAUCGUUUUCAGAACC